ACUGAAUAGAUACCCGGGUAGUCCACGCCGUAAACGAUGGAUGCUAGCUGUUGUCCGUAUCGACCCGGACAGUAGCGAAAGCUAACGCGUUAAGCAUCCCGCCUGUGGAGUACGGUCGCAAGACUAAAACAUAAAGGAAUUGACGGGGACCCGCACAAGCGGUGGAGCGUGUUCNUUAAUUCGAGGGUAAGCGAAGAACCUUACCAGGGUUUGACAUCCUGUGAAUCUUUCCGAAAAGGAAAGAGUGCCUUCGGGAACGCAGUGACAGGUGUUGCAUGGCCGUCGUCAGCUCGUGUCGUGAGAUGUUUGGUUAAGUCCAUCAACGAGCGCAACCCUUGUAUUCAGUUGGAUUUUUCUGAAUAGACUGCCCCGGUAACGGGGAGGAAGGAGGGGAUGAUGUCAGGUCAGUAUUACCCUUACACCCUGGGCUAGAAACACGCUACAAUGGCCGGUACAAAGGGCUGCCAAGUCGCAAGACGGAGCAAAUCCCAUCAAAGCCGGUCUCAGUUCGGAUAGGAGGCUGAAACCCGCCUCCUUGAAGCUGGAAUCGCUAGUAAC
This 558-nucleotide ribosomal RNA is filed under the name uncultured bacterium. Its description in RNAcentral is "bacterial SSU rRNA". It matches the Rfam family "Bacterial small subunit ribosomal RNA", at positions 772 to 1342 of the family's 1533-position model. The record is from RNAcentral.